CGUCAAGGGCAUGAUGCCGUACUGAGCCAUUAUGGCAAUUGCCACGCCUUUGGGUUUCCUGAGAAUUUAACAUAACUUGAACUCAGCCCAGUGGUUGCCCAAAGGCCGUGCUUCAGCAGGCAUGCCCAAUAGGAGUGGCGGUGGCUUGAUUUGUGUCAGAUUUCACACUGUGUUGGCCCCCAAUCCAAGACAUGACCUUGGCAUGUGGUGUCCAUAUUUUGCUCAGCACGUGCAUGCGUGCAAGGCACACCAUCUGCUUACCCUGAUGCGGUGCCCACACUUUCAGACUCUACCAGGACUCCUUUCUCCCGCUAAGGCUUCUCCCCAAGUAAGUGCCUCUUUUGGUUUGUCCUGUUCCUUCUUAUAUUUGCUCAUGCACUUUGAAAAUAAGCUCUCUAGAGCCCAGGGUAUCACUGGUGUUUAUUUUGGGCUUGUUCAGGGGGUUGCUAGCAAAGAGGGCACAAUUCUUGCAUGGUUCUUAGGACAACGCACUUUAUUUCAGACACAAGCAAACCCUAGCUCGCAUUUAGCAUGUGCAAGCCCCUGUGCAGCGCUGCAUUCACCUACGGAGGUAUAUAAAGGGUAAUGAUAAUGUUGCCCAGAAGGCUAACACAUCAAAGGCCAAGGAGCAGUUAAAAUGUAUUACGAGCUGUUGGCAGUGAUUGUGGGGGGUAUUUGUGUAUUGCUGCUUUGGACGGCCCGAGUAAAUGAAAACCCUCUGGAUUAAUUGGUACACCAAAGAGGUUUGGAGGAAAAUGGAGGCUGAUGGAAAAUGACAAACAAGGGAAAAUACAGAUAGCUGGGUGUGCUGACCUGCGGCGGGGCACUGCUGAUUAACUUGCGGCUCCCUACCGUGCCCUGGAAAGCCGAGGAGAGCUGGGGGUGCCCCGCCAGCAGCUCGCCCGGCGUGUCGGUGGGAGCGGGCUGAGCCCCACAGGCAGCAUCUGCAGCGCUGCUAUUCCAGCACAGCCGAGCGGGUAGUUAGAGGUGAGACUUAC
Molecule: long non-coding RNA, 998 nt
Organism: Harpia harpyja (harpy eagle)
Lineage: Eukaryota; Metazoa; Chordata; Aves; Accipitriformes; Accipitridae
Exons: 3
Source: RefSeq, a predicted model, not a curated record